This 593-nucleotide ribosomal RNA is filed under the name uncultured bacterium. RNAcentral's name for it is "bacterial SSU rRNA". It matches the Rfam family "Bacterial small subunit ribosomal RNA", at positions 335 to 919 of the family's 1533-position model. The record is from RNAcentral.
AUUCCUACGGGAGGCAGCAGUGGGGAAUAUUGGACAAUGGGCGCAAGCCUGAUCCAGCCAUACCGCGUGGGUGAAGAAGGCCUUCGGGUUGUAAAGCCCUUUUGUUGGGAAAGAAAUCCAGCCGGCUAAUACCUGGUUGGGAUGACGGUACCCAAAGAAUAAGCACCGGCUAACUUCGUGCCAGCAGCCGCGGUAAUACGAAGGGUGCAAGCGUUACUCGGAAUUACUGGGCGUAAUGCGUGCGUAGGUGGUUAUUUAAGUCCGUUGUGAAAGCCCUGGGCUCAACCUGGGAACUGCAGUGGAUACUGGAUGACUAGAAUGUGGUAGAGGGUAGCGGAAUUCCUGGUGUAGCAGUGAAAUGCGUAGAGAUCAGGAGGAACAUCCAUGGCGAAGGCAGCUACCUGGACCAACAUUGACACUGAGGCACGAAAGCGUGGGGAGCAAACAGGAUUAGAUACCCUGGUAGUCCACGCCCUAAACGAUGCGAACUGGAUGUUGGGUGCAAUUUGGCACGCAGUAUCGAAGCUAACGCGUUAAGUUCGCCGCCUGGGGAGUACGGUCGCAAGACUGAAACUCAAAUGAAUUGACGGAAU